This 255-nucleotide ribosomal RNA is filed under the name Clostridioides difficile. RNAcentral's name for it is "partial 16S ribosomal RNA". It matches the Rfam family "Bacterial small subunit ribosomal RNA", at positions 427 to 700 of the family's 1533-position model. Lineage: Bacteria; Bacillati; Bacillota; Clostridia; Peptostreptococcales; Peptostreptococcaceae. The record is from RNAcentral.
AAAACUCUGUCCUCAAGGAAGAUAAUGACGGUACUUGAGGAGGAAGCCCCGGCUAACUACGUGCCAGCAGCCGCGGUAAGACGUAGGGGGCUAGCGUUAUCCGGAUUUACUGGGCGUAAAGGGUGCGGAGGCGGUCUUUCAAGUCAGGAGUGAAAGGCUACGGCUCAACCGUAGUAAGCUCUUGAAACUGGGAGACUUGAGUGCAGGAGAGGAGAGGGGAAUUCCUAGUGUAGCGGUGAAAUGCGUAGAUAUUAG